Molecule: long non-coding RNA, 2005 nt
Organism: Belonocnema kinseyi
Lineage: Eukaryota; Metazoa; Arthropoda; Insecta; Hymenoptera; Cynipidae
Exons: 3
Source: RefSeq, a predicted model, not a curated record
AACCAGGUCAAACCUGUUAAAAGAUCUAAGUUUUCUGUUAGUGAACCUCCAUCAAUUAUUGCCUUAAAAAAACAUUAAACAGUGGUUUAUUUCGCAAAAAUAUAUCCUGACAAAGUCAUGAAUAGUAAUUACAAGUGGAACCGUGAUGUGAAGUUGGUGGAAGGCGUUUGAUGCAAAGCAAAAAAAGGAAGCAUAGUUUGGUUUAGGUUACAUCUCGAGAGCCCAGCGGAAUGACCAAGUCCCUAAAGUUCGUAGACGUCUCGUCCGUUGGGUCUGGAAACAGCAGGACGGCAGGAAGCUGGACUGGUUGCAUAGGAGUGGAUAAUAUGGACUCUCAGCCUAACAUCGCCAGAGGAUCGACCAGCAUCGCCUCGGGUUCUCCUUGAGAAACUUACCGUCGUUUUGCAGCAGCAAUAGUGGAAGAGCUUGACAUAAGCUGUCCGAAAGUGACGGUCCGCUACGCAGUAAAGAAGAUUAUUGACACAGGACUUUGAGAGAGCAAACCAGGCUAGAAUGAUGAAAACGCUGGGUUUGACUGGUCGGACGGAACUCAUGCAUAGCGCUACACCUAGGGGAAUCCAGAAUAUAGCAAAGAGUAAAAAACUGUAGAUGUUCGUCUUGGUGAGCUCGUAGUCCCAGGAGAAGGCAACUGGGGGUUUGUAUGAUCCUCUCGUAACUCGACGAACUCGAGCUACCAGUAGAAUGUAAACGAAGAUCGUCAGAAGAACUGGAAGUCCCACCAGAAUGCUGGCACCUACAGCUUGUUCCAUCGCGAUUCCAUCGAAGCGUUUUCUGCAAAUAUCUGGACCCAGAUCAAUAGAUGAUUGAAGACCCACUAUUAUCAUGGCUGCAACCCACACCACCAGGAUCGAGCCUGUCACUCUUCUUUGCGUUAUUAUUGCAUAUCUGUGGACAAAUAAGUAGAGUUUUAAAGUAUGACCAAUCUACGACUUGUCCUCACACCUGCUUCAGGAAGAGAUAGUACGCACGGUUCACCCUUUGUUGAUCCCGUUGGAACUUUUAGUACAUUAUGAAACUAUGAAUACCUGAGAUUGAGAGUUUCUGAGUAUAGUUCGGUUUAGGGAAUUCAAAGAUAUUAUUCAUGGUUCGUAAAUAUGGUGGUUUUCUUCAAAACUAGGUUAGUAAUAAUUCAUGACAUAAAUUACUUAAUGGAUAUAGGUCUUCCGAGUAAGAAAAAGACUAGAGGGGUACCAGUGCGCUGGUGGCGGUUCUACCUGCCGUUACUGUAAGUAUAAGGGUAAAGAAAGGGUCAGACUACGUACGAUCCCUUCCUGAAUCAGGUAUAAAAACCAGUCGUGGAUCGCCCGUAAUGUGUCUGGAAAAAAUGUUGGCUAAAAGAAAAGUUACAUGAAAAUUUGAAAAUUUUUCAAAACUUCCAAAAUUGGUUCAAAAAUUUAUAAUGAAAUACGUCUUUAGUGAACCAUGUAUUUAAACACGUAAGUAUUGUUUUAACAGUUUAAAAUUAUUUAAAGAUAAUAUAACAUUGUUUACAUUCAUUAUAAGACUCACAAAAUCUAUGAUAUAUAAGAAAGAGUAGGAUAUGGUGCCGGGCUUUAAAUUAAGUGUUCUGUAAAUUAUAAUUGAAAUGUGAUUUUGAUGUGUGUAUUUUUUUUGUUGAGAACCUCAUAUUAUCCGGUUACAUAUGUCAUUACUCAAACCCGUUUCUUAACUACGUCAUUAUUUGAUAUUAAAUUUACUCCAUUAGUCUUGCAUUUCGGUUAGCGUACCCCAUACCAUGCGGCAUGAUGUCCCUCAUAUUACUUCUAAUUUAUUUGAAUAAUAUGAGCAUUGUUGAAAAUAAAGUGUACAAUAUAAUAAUUCUUGGGAGUAUAAUGUAUCGAAGAAAAAUUAUUCGAGACAUGAUCCACACGAAAGAAAUGAUUCCUCACCAAUCAAAGUAAAGUAUAUCGUAGAACCUAGUUAUAAGGGAUCGUCCAUAUAUUACGUAACACUUUUUUCUUUUGUUUAUAUCGUUGUGUCUUUC